RNAcentral lists this ribosomal RNA (103 nucleotides) under uncultured bacterium. RNAcentral's name for it is "partial 16S ribosomal RNA". It matches the Rfam family "Bacterial small subunit ribosomal RNA", at positions 1380 to 1482 of the family's 1533-position model. The record is from RNAcentral.
CUUGUACACACCGCCCGUCACACCAUGGGAGCGGGAUGCACCAGAAGUAGGUGGGCUAACCGCAGGGGGGCCGCUUACCACGGUGCGUUUCGUGACUGGGGUG